UGACCGAGUGGCUGGCCGUGCUGAGCCUGUACCGGUCGUGCACGAGGUCCCGCGACUCCCUCGCCGCCUCAGGCCCGCCGCCGCAGCCGCGCCGGUGCUCUCCCGCCUAAGCCCGGCGUCGAUGAGUACGUAGAGAGUUGGUGUGCGUGUGCACGUAUCGUCCUUCCUUCUUUUUUCUUCUUCUUGUUGGGUGUGUGUGUGGCUUGUGUUGAGUUCGUAUCGUACGUACGUAUACGUUCGUUGGCGCCCGAUCGUAGUUAGCGCCGAUGAAUUAGGAAUGUUGCUUGCGAAUUUGGUGACAAGACGCUGUAACUAAGGGUGUCUUUUCGUGUGUCGGUAUAUGCAUGUGCUUGCCUCAACAAUAAUUAAUGGAUAAUUCGGCACCAUUGAUUGAUUAGGCUGCUUUAGGCCAGUUGCCGAUUAAAGGAUUCUUCUAUAUUGUUGAUUAGAAGAUUCUUCUACUACUAUAAGUAUUGUUGAUUAAAGGAUUCAAUCAUGUUAGUUUUACACUUGGCAUUAUUACUUGCAUGUGGGUGGUGCAGUGCUGAUGCGUGUCUUCUACAGUUUCUCUUUUCCAGAAAAUGUGCUACGAGUACGCUAUUUGUGAUUUAGAGUGCAUGCACUAUCACGGUCAAGCGGGCCACGACUGUUGCAAGCAGGAUAUGAUUAUGGAGCACAUGUUACUAUAUUAUUGUCUUCUCUUUUUUAUACUUCCUCCGUUUCUAAAUAUAAGUCUUUUAAAGGUUUCACUAAUUGACUAUAUACGGAUGCAUAUAGACAUACUAUUAUAAAGUGUAGAUUCAUUCAUUUUACUCCGUAUAUAGACCCUUAGUGAAAUCUUUUAAAAGACUUAUCUUUAGAAAUGGAGAGAGUAUGCUUCAUGGUUUUGUAGGGAAGAAACAGUAAACAAAUGUCCUACUGUAUUAGUAUUAUUUUUUUGGGAUGCCCCACCGUAUAAGUCUACUCAAUAUAGUAUUAUAUAAAAUCAAAGUAAAUAUUUUUCAUGUGUUCAACGAAAAAAUAAAUACUACCACAUAGACAUGCGGUUAGCUAACUCAAAAUUCACAUAGAAAAAAGUAAGUACUUACAUACUGACAUAAAGAAAGAAGAGGAGUUAAAUAAAAUGAUAUUCAGAGGUGGGUAGGUUUUUUGCACAAAGGCUAAUAUAUUAAUAUCAAGACUAUACCAAAUUCACUCCGUCUUCACAACGACACAAUAUCAAGAGCUAGUCAAAACAUUAAGGUGUGUAGGUUUAUUAAUUAAAUAACAAUUACAUUGUCCAUAUUAUGCUAGUAGUAUUAUCAUCUCGUAUCUUACAGAUUUGGCAGUGGCCACUUGCGUAGGAGAUGAUUAAUCAUUGCUUUAUUCUUUGAAGUAUCUUGUUGUGGCAAGUAUGAACAAUGAGUUAUUGGAUCAUGCAUAGGGUGAUUUGGGUUUUGUCCCGUCAGUUCACCCUGUCUGACACAUAUUUGUCUGCCUGGACCAAUGGCUACAAGAAUAUAGGUGAACAUGUUCGCAAACAUCCGCAAAAGCAAAAGUAACCGAUUCAAUUUUGCUUUACAAAAACACACAGACACAGAGUUCGCAUACAACAAUUGAAUGGCUUGGCGUAGAAAACAGAGUACUGAGUAAGCUGCGGUAACAGAAGCUCCAAGGCCCACAUGUCUGUGAAAUAAAAUGACAUUUUUUGAAGUCGUGAGUUUCGACUUUACUACUCGCUCCGUUCCAUAAUAUAAAAACAUUUUUCAUAUUAAUAUAAUGUUAAAAUAUUUUUAUGAUAUGAGUGAGAGAGUAUAUAGUAACAAAAUAACUAAGCGAGACAUCAGCCGUCACAUGUACUCCCUCCGUAAACUAAUAUAAAAGCAUUUAGAAUACUACUCCGUAUUUUAGUAAUCUAAACGCUUUUAUAUUAGUUUAGAGAUGGAGUAGAUGGUAAGGGCGCGCUGGGCGAGUCACGGCGAUGGUGGCCACGCCCCACGAGAGGUGAGAGGUGUUUCCAAAUCUGCUGCGGGUACGUACAGCAGGUGAACUUUUUGCGCGGCCGGUUGCCCGGGCGAAAAGCAUGAUGAGAAGCUUGACCUUUCCCUUUUGCCACGCACGGCCGGGAGCCUUUUCGUCGGUUGAUGUAUGCAUGCGUAAAUUAAAUAUGUAAUGGAGUAAUAUGCACAAGACUAGCAAGCGAAGAGGAAUAUGAUAUGUUUGUUUUUUUUCUGCCAGGGAAGAAGAAUAUGAUUGCAGGCGCUACAGGUCAAUACCGCGACCAGAAAAAAAAAUGCGCUAACGACAUCAGUGCUGGUGUCAGUCGAAUCAAAGUGAUAUCUGGGUGGAUCGGGGGUGGGGACGCCACCUUAAACCAGCUGCGACAUUUUUAUUAUGGCUGACAGUGGUUCAGGUGAUGGCGUAACGACGGCCCCGUGCGUAACCGUAAACGAUACUCUCUCCGUUUCAUACUACCACAAGUAUUUGUCGUGGUUUUAGUUCAAAGAAUUAUCAAGCAGAGUGAGUACGAUACUACUACUCACCAUGAGAAGAAUACUAUGACGGGCGGGCACCAAUCAGCAUAUAAUUGAUAAUUCGCGCCAUCGCCAUGGAAAAUUCUAGUACUGGCAGUGGUUGGGGAGUUGGUAAAAGUUAGUAAUCCGUCCUCUGGUGACCCGACGUUUACCAAACCGUUUUGACCGCGUUGGGAGGAUGGUGGCUCGGUACGGAAGCGUCGUCAGCCGUGCACUCGCUCCUCCGGCCGAUGUGAGCGUAGUUUACUCUCCCUCUUCCUCGUUUGAGAUGUGG
Molecule: long non-coding RNA, 2787 nt
Filed under: Hordeum vulgare
Lineage: Eukaryota; Viridiplantae; Streptophyta; Magnoliopsida; Poales; Poaceae
Description: long non-coding RNA (HVUL_LNC004849)
Source: RNAcentral